UUCCGAAAUCAAUUCUUUUUGGCGAAGACGACGACGAUCUGAUCUAAUCGAAUCCGAUUGGCGAAUUUAAGAAAAACAAGAUCUUGAGGCGAAAUUGUAAGCAGACAUGGCGGAAGAGCACAGAUGCGAAGCCCCAGAAGGCCACCACCUCUGCGCAAACAACUGCGGAUUCUUCGGCAGCCCGGCCACCAUGAACCUCUGCUCCAAAUGCUACAGAGACUUCUGCCUCAAGGAGCAGCAGCAGGCGUCGAUCAAAUCCACCGUCGAAGCCUCCCUCUCCGCCUCCGCUGCCGAUGCCGCUUCUUCCUCUCUCUCCGCUCCUUCUUCCCCUCCUUCAACAUCCUUGCCUGCCUCUCCGGCAGCGAUCGAGACUCUCUGCCAACCUCCGCCCCCGGCCUUGACUUUGCCGGAGGUAGCCGGAGAUAUAAUCGGUGAGCCCGCUGAAGUUGUUCGGGCUCCUGAGGUGGCUACGGUGGUGUCGCAGCCGAACCGGUGCACCGUUUGCAGGAAACGGGUCGGGUUGACCGGGUUC
RNAcentral lists this long non-coding RNA (532 nucleotides) under Malus domestica (apple). Its description in RNAcentral is "long non-coding RNA (MDOM_LNC013635)". The record is from RNAcentral. Lineage: Eukaryota; Viridiplantae; Streptophyta; Magnoliopsida; Rosales; Rosaceae.